ACCCUGGUAGUCCGCACGGUAAACGAUGGAUGCCCGCUGUUGGUCUGAAUAGGUCAGCGGCCAAGCGAAAGCAUUAAGCAUCCCACCUGGGGAGUACGCCGGCAACGGUGAAACUCAAAGGAAUUGACGGGGGCCCGCACAAGCGGAGGAACAUGUGGUUUAAUUCGAUGAUACGCGAGGAACCUUACCCGGGCUUGAAUUGCAGAGGAAGGAUUUGGAGACAAUGACGCCCUUCGGGGCCUCUGUGAAGGUGCUGCAUGGUUGUCGUCAGCUCGUGCCGUGAGGUGUCGGCUUAAGUGCCAUAACGAGCGCAACCCCUCUCCUUAGUUGCCAUCAGGUCAAGCUGGGCACUCUGGGGACACUGCCACCGUAAGGUGUGAGGAAGGUGGGGAUGACGUCAAAUCAGCACGGCCCUUACGUCCGGGGCUACACACGUGUUACAAUGGCAGGUACAGAGAGACGGUCCCUUGCAAAAUGGAUCAAAUCCUUAAAGCCUGUCUCAGUUCGGACUGGGGUCUGCCAACCGACCCCACGAAGCUGGUAC
This 544-nucleotide ribosomal RNA is filed under the name uncultured bacterium. Its description in RNAcentral is "bacterial SSU rRNA". It matches the Rfam family "Bacterial small subunit ribosomal RNA", at positions 784 to 1332 of the family's 1533-position model. The record is from RNAcentral.